AACUCAAAGGAAUUGACGGGGCCCGCACAAGCGGUGGAGUAUGUGGUUUAAUUCGAUGCAACGCGAAGAACCUUACCUAGGUUUGACAUCCGGAAAACCUUCCCGAAAAGGAAGGGUGCCCUUCGGGGAAUUCCGAGACAGGUGCUGCAUGGCUGUCGUCAGCUCGUGCCGUGAGGUGUUGGGUUAAGUCCCGCAACGAGCACAACCCUAUUGCCAGUUGCUACCAGGUAAUGCUGGGCACUCUGGUGAGACUGCCCCGGUUAACGGGGAGGAAGGUGGGGACGACGUCAAGUCAUCAUGGCCCUUACGCCUAGGGCUACACACGUACUACAAUGGCGCAUACAAAGGGCAGCGAUACCGCGAGGUGGAGCCAAUCCCAAAAAGUGCGUCCCAGUCCGGAUUGCAGUCUGCAACUCGACUGCAUGAAGUUGGAAUCGCUAGUAAUUCGAGAUCAGCAUGCUCGGGUGAAUGCGUUCCCGGGCCUU
Molecule: ribosomal RNA, 485 nt
Filed under: uncultured Desulfovibrio sp.
Lineage: Bacteria; Pseudomonadati; Thermodesulfobacteriota; Desulfovibrionia; Desulfovibrionales; Desulfovibrionaceae
Description: bacterial SSU rRNA
Rfam family: Bacterial small subunit ribosomal RNA
Source: RNAcentral